RNAcentral lists this ribosomal RNA (253 nucleotides) under uncultured bacterium. RNAcentral describes it as "partial 16S ribosomal RNA". It matches the Rfam family "Bacterial small subunit ribosomal RNA", at positions 524 to 776 of the family's 1533-position model. The record is from RNAcentral.
UACAGAGGGGGCAAGCGUUGUUCGGAAUUACUGGGCGUAAAGGGCGCGUAGGCGGCCUGCUAAGUCGAACGUGAAAUCCCCGGGCUCAACCCGGGAACUGCGUCCGAUACUGGUUGGCUUGAAUCCGGGAGAGGGAUGCGGAAUUCCAGGUGUAGCGGUGAAAUGCGUAGAUAUUCGGAGGAACACCAGUGGCGAAGGCGGCUCACUGGCUCGAUACUGACGCUGAGGUGCGAAAGCGUGGGGAGCAAACAGG